CGCCCCCACCCCAGUGUGCCCGAAGACCCCCGCAGAUCCCUCCCCCUCCAGAGGCCUGGCCUCCCUCUAGUUGGGUGGACGAAGAAGGAGGUGGUGCCAGCAGGGGGUCACAUCAGAACCCGUGACAGACACCCCGUUAUUCUCAUGCAAUUCGCCAACCAAAAACUGUAUUUCUUAUACUGCCACCAAAUCGUCCCUUGCUUCUAUCAGCCUUGCCAAAACUCAAGUACUGAUGGUCCUCAGGAAAUUACAGUUUUUACUGUGUCGUCUUUCACUGGGAGUAAUUUUAACAAAUUCUUCCAGGAUAGCUUAACUUUUAGUAGAUAAAUCAAGCUCGGUGUCUGUAUUUGUUUAUUUGUUUAUGCUUUGUCAAACAGAUGACAGUUUUUGGGGUUUUGACUGGUGCACGCUGAUUCCUGUGACCCUGUUCUCGGGGGUCUGGAGCCUUAGCUGGGCACCCUUCCCCAUUUCUGAGGUCCUAUGACCGACCUCCAUGAUUUGAAUACUGAUUUCACUUUGUCCCUCGGUUAAUUUCGAAAGCUCUUCUAACAGCCAUGGAAUCAACAAAGCUGGGGAAUAUUUGUUGACUGUCGUAGGAGAUGUAUCUCAGCACAACUGAACUGGGUCCUUCAGCCAGAGAACAACCCUUUUGCACAGAGAGUAUCAGGGCUGAAAGGAACAUCCAAGUUUAUCUGACAGCUAGAUCGAAUCCGCCUUCCUGAAGACCGCUGUCGCUGCAGAUGGCUUUGUGUGCCCCUGGGCCUCCGUCUCUGGGUGAAACGCCACCACAGCCCACAAGACCAUCGCUGGACUCCUCGCCGGCCGCGUGGCCUCUCUCUGGAUGCGACCCAGGUAGAUGAACUGGGCACCGACUGUGAACGGAGCACUGGCUGGGCGCUGGGGAUGUGAUGGUGAACAAGGUCGCAGAUCCGCCUCUGAGAACUCGCCGUCUAGUUAAGGACGACGUGCUAAGGGAAAGCGCGUAUGUUCCGUGGUGUUAGGUGCUGGGCGGAAUGAUAAACACGUAAUGAUAAAUAUUACAUAGGUAACAUGAUGUGCAUGGGACAAGUACACAUCAUUAGGGAGGGAAGAGGGGGGUAGGUCCCCGGACAGCAGGGGUCCUCGUAGCAAAGCAUCCAAUACCCUCGAUGACUCACUAUUCCAGGUGGGUGCGUCCCUGCUCCACCUUCAGGGACCCUGAUUCCCCGAGUCACUGCCCUGCCGCCCCCUGAGAUAACGUCUUCGUGUGUAGAGUUGAGGCCGGUCGCAGGCCUGUCCCGGGUCCCGCCU
Molecule: long non-coding RNA, 1290 nt
Organism: Acinonyx jubatus (cheetah)
Lineage: Eukaryota; Metazoa; Chordata; Mammalia; Carnivora; Felidae
Exons: 3
Source: RefSeq, a predicted model, not a curated record